GAGUUUGAUCCUGGCUCAGGACGAACGCUGGCGGCGUGCUCAACACAUGCAAGUCGAACGGAAAGGCCCCGCUCGCGGGGUACUCGAGUGGCGAACGGGUGAGUAACACGUGGGUGAUCUGCCCUGCACUUCGGGAUAAGCCUGGGAAACUGGGUCUAAUACCGGAUAUGACCUCCCUUUAGUGUGGGGGGUGGAAAGAUUUAUCGGUGCAGGAUGAGCCCGCGGCCUAUCAGCUUGUUGGUGGGGUAAUGGCCUACCAAGGCGUCGACGGGUAGCCGGCCUGAGAGGGUGGACGGCCACAUUGGGACUGAGAUACGGCCCAGACUCCUACGGGAGGCAGCAGUGGGGAAUAUUGCACAAUGGGCGGAAGCCUGAUGCAGCGACGCCGCGUGGGGGAUGACGGCCUUCGGGUUGUAAACCUCUUUCGACAGGGACGAAGUGAAAAUGACGGUACCUGUAUAAGAAGCACCGGCUAACUACGUGCCAGCAGCCGCGGUAAUACGUAGGGUGCGAGCGUUGUCCGGAAUUACUGGGCGUAAAGAGCUCGUAGGUGGUUUGUCACGUCGUCUGUGAAAUUCCGGGGCUUAACCUCGGGCGUGCAGGCGAUACGGGCAAUACUUGAGUGCUGUAGGGGAGACUGGAAUUCCUGGUGUAGCGGUGAAAUGCGCAGAUAUCAGGAGGAACAACAUGGCGAAGGCAGUCUCUGGGCAGUUACUGACGCUGAGGAGCGAAAGCAUGGGUAGCGAACAGGAUUAGAUACCCUGGUAGUCCAUGCCGUAAACGGUGGGCGCUAGGUGUAGGGGACUUCCACGUUCUCUGUGCCGUAGCUAACGCAUUAAGCGCCCCGCCUGGGGAGUACGGCCGCAAGGAUAAAACUCAAAGGAAUUGACGGGGGCCCGCACAAGCGGCGGAGCAUGUGGAUUAAUUCGAUGCAACGCGAAGAACCUUACCUGGGCUUGACAUACACCGGACCGGCGUAGAGAUACGUCUUCCCUUGUGGCCGGUGUACAGGUGGUGCAUGGUUGUCGUCAGCUCGUGUCGUGAGAUGUUGGGUUAAGUCCCGCAACGAGCGCAACCCUUGUCUUAUGCUGCCAGCACGUGAUGGUGGGGACUCAUGAGAGACUGCCGGGGUCAACUCGGAGGAAGGUGGGGAUGACGUCAAAUCAUCAUGCCCCUUAUGUCCAGGGCUUCACACAUGCUACAAUGGUCGGUACAGCAGGUCGCGAACUCGUGAGAGUAAGCCAAUCCUUCAAAGCCGGCCUCAGUUCGGAUUGGGGUCUGCAACUCGACCCCAUGAAGUCGGAGUCGCUAGUAAUCGCAGAUCAGCAACGCUGCGGUGAAUACGUUCCCGGGACCCUUGUACACACCGCCCGU
This 1374-nucleotide ribosomal RNA is filed under the name uncultured bacterium. Its description in RNAcentral is "bacterial SSU rRNA". It matches the Rfam family "Bacterial small subunit ribosomal RNA". The record is from RNAcentral.